AAUACCAAUUUCUUUAUCAAUCAAUUUAAUGCUCUCAACUUGUUUCAUCGCAGCACUAACUGUUUUAUUUAG
RNAcentral lists this transfer RNA (72 nucleotides) under Staphylococcus aureus. RNAcentral describes it as "tRNA-Arg-CCG". Lineage: Bacteria; Bacillati; Bacillota; Bacilli; Caryophanales; Staphylococcaceae. The record is from RNAcentral.